This 661-nucleotide ribosomal RNA is filed under the name Pseudomonas jessenii. RNAcentral's name for it is "bacterial SSU rRNA". It matches the Rfam family "Bacterial small subunit ribosomal RNA", at positions 61 to 717 of the family's 1533-position model. Lineage: Bacteria; Pseudomonadati; Pseudomonadota; Gammaproteobacteria; Pseudomonadales; Pseudomonadaceae. The record is from RNAcentral.
GUCGAGCGGAUGAGAGGAGCUUGCUCCUGGAUUCAGCGGCGGACGGGUGAGUAAUGCCUAGGAAUCUGCCUGGUAGUGGGGGACAACGUCUCGAAAGGGACGCUAAUACCGCAUACGUCCUACGGGAGAAAGCAGGGGACCUUCGGGCCUUGCGCUAUCAGAUGAGCCUAGGUCGGAUUAGCUAGUUGGUGAGGUAAUGGCUCACCAAGGCGACGAUCCGUAACUGGUCUGAGAGGAUGAUCAGUCACACUGGAACUGAGACACGGUCCAGACUCCUACGGGAGGCAGCAGUGGGGAAUAUUGGACAAUGGGCGAAAGCCUGAUCCAGCCAUGCCGCGUGUGUGAAGAAGGUCUUCGGAUUGUAAAGCACUUUAAGUUGGGAGGAAGGGCAGUAACUUAAUACGUUGCUGUCUUGACGUUACCGACAGAAUAAGCACCGGCUAACUCUGUGCCAGCAGCCGCGGUAAUACAGAGGGUGCAAGCGUUAAUCGGAAUUACUGGGCGUAAAGCGCGCGUAGGUGGUUUGUUAAGUUGGAUGUGAAAGCCCCGGGCUCAACCUGGGAACUGCAUUCAAAACUGACAAGCUAGAGUAUGGUAGAGGGUGGUGGAAUUUCCUGUGUAGCGGUGAAAUGCGUAGAUAUAGGAAGGAACACCAGUGGCG